Non-coding RNA from Rattus norvegicus (Norway rat), 488 nucleotides. The record is from RefSeq and is a predicted model, not a curated record. NCBI's taxonomy places the organism in Eukaryota, Metazoa, Chordata, Mammalia, Rodentia, Muridae.
UUUCAAAAGAACAGGAUGGAGUCUAAUUGGUGUUGCCAUUUGUUGAUUCUACAGUCUUGACCUAGAUGCGCAGAAUUCAUGUUAAAAUUCCAGCUAAAAUUAUAGCUGUAGGAGCCAACAAAAGUACAUAUAUAUACAUCAGCCACCGAAACUACACAAGAUUGAUGGAGAUUUUAAAAAAAGAUUACAAGAGCUGAAGGGCUUUAACACUACAAGAACAACAAUGCCAAUGAACCAGAGCUUUCUGAUACUAGAACAAUAUUCAAAGAAUGUACAUGGACAGAGCUAUGGCUCCAACUGCAUAUGUGGAAGAGAAUAGACUUGGUGGGCACCAAUGGAAGGAGAAGUCCUUGGUCCUCCCUAGGUUUGACUCCAAGUUCAAGGACCUUUUCUUCUUGCGAAAAAGUGUAAAGGUCAUGAGUUCUCAGGAAAACAACUGUGCCCUUCACAACACUUGGCUUUUGGAAUAAAGAAAUAAAUGAUAUAAA